CCUGGUGGCUCAGAGGUUAAAGCGUCUGCCUGGAAUUUGGGAGACCCAGGUUCAAUUCCUGGGUCAGGA
RNAcentral lists this transfer RNA (69 nucleotides) under Ovis aries (sheep). It matches the Rfam family "tRNA". From Rfam's summary of the family: Transfer RNA (tRNA) molecules are approximately 80 nucleotides in length. Their secondary structure includes four short double-helical elements and three loops (D, anti-codon, and T loops). Lineage: Eukaryota; Metazoa; Chordata; Mammalia; Artiodactyla; Bovidae. The record is from Rfam by way of RNAcentral.